Long non-coding RNA from Pecten maximus, 1167 nucleotides. RefSeq lists it as uncharacterized. Lineage: Eukaryota; Metazoa; Mollusca; Bivalvia; Pectinida; Pectinidae. The transcript is spliced from 2 exons. The record is from RefSeq and is a predicted model, not a curated record.
UGCACAUACAGUUGAUAGUAGUAGAACAGGUAGCUGUUGUAGAUACAGAGACGAGGGGAUGACCAAAGGGAAUGGCGAUAGAUAGAAAAUGUUAGCAGACUCAUACAGUCAGCACACGUACAGGUUUAGAUCAUACACGUCUCACAUGCAUCUUAGUGUACGAGACUCUAGAUCCUGUCCAUCCUGUCCAGUCAUGGAGUGUUCAAAACUGACAUAAUCUAGCUCCCUACCCCAUCCACAGACCUCAUCCUGAUCAACAUGUCCAUCCUGUCCAGUCAUGGAGUGUACAACACUGACAUAAUCUCCCUACCCUAUCCACAGACCUCAUCCUGAUCAACAGACUAAUGAGAUCCUCAAUGAAACUUCAUCAUCGACUGCCGAUUCCUCUCCAACCUCCCAGAAAUACAUAUCGUGACAUACUACUGAGGAGGCUAUUACCAUGGACAGUUAAAAUGUCUGGCCUGUAUCACUAACCUCUCAAAGAAUCAUGUUCUCCUCUCAGAGAAUCACUCUGCCUGUCAUGACAUCCUGCUGCCUAGCGAUGACAAGAUCAUGUCACAAGAAACAAGGAACUGUGGACCAGGAAUCACUGAUAGUGAACAUCAGGAGUGGAUGUGGUCAGUAGGAUGGUCAGUAGGAUGGUCAGUAGGAUGCAUUUGGUCAGUAGUGAUGAUGUUAUUUAGUAGUGUGUGUAUCUUCUACAACUCUAACAGAUAAACCUUUGUUUGACAACUUUUUAUAUUUUGUUGGGAAAAUAGCAUUUCUCAGAAAUGAGAUUUUUAAAAUGAGUCAGAAACAACCAAAACAAAAUCUGUGUUUCAGGUAGGGCCUAUCAUGAUUCAGAGCAAAUGAGCCCUAAACUUUGAGACACACAUAGCACAAAACUUUUACACCAGUUUUAGACCAAAAGUACAUUUUAGAUGAUUUGAAAUGUUUAUUAAGGUGGUAAGAUCGUUUUCUCUAGAUGUUAUAAUGGCACUACAGAUUGAAUAUCCUCUACCUACCUGUCUGUUUUUACAUUGCAAGUCAUGAUGAUCAAGUCAAUUUAUGAAAAAAAAAAAAAAAAAUCUGAGAAAAAAAAGAGACAGGAAAUCUCCAGACAACAAUGAAAUCAUGAAAAUGAAAAAAGGCAACAACUUAAUCUGAAAUCAACAACUUAAUCUAAAA